Molecule: ribosomal RNA, 301 nt
Filed under: uncultured bacterium
Lineage: Bacteria
Description: partial 16S ribosomal RNA
Rfam family: Bacterial small subunit ribosomal RNA
Source: RNAcentral
CAGUAGCCACGGUAAUACGAGGGGGGCAAGCGUUGUUCGGAAUUAUUGGGCGUAAAGGGUGCGUAGGCGGCUUGACAAGUCUUGUGUGAAAUCUAUGGGCUCAACCCAUAGUCUGCACGGGAAACUGUCGGGCUUGAGAAUGGGAGAGGUGAGUGGAAUUUCCGGUGUAGCGGUGAAAUGCGUAGAUAUCGGAAGGAACACCUGUGGCGAAAGCGGCUCACUGGACCAUUUCUGACGCUGAUGCACGAAAGCUAGGGGAGCAAACAGGAUUAGAUACCCGCGUAGUCCCUGUCUCUUAUAC